AUGGUCGCAACCAAUGCAAACACACAGUUGAUCAUGCAAAUUCUUCAAGAGCGCAAUCAAGGCAACCAAGGGAAUCAAGGCAAAAAUCAGAAUCACUUUGCUACACUCAACCAGUUCCUUGCUAACGGGCCAAAGGCUUUCAGCAAUUGUGUUGAGGCAACCUAUGCUGACGAUUGGCUUGUGGAUCUGUGCAAGCAUUUCGAGUGCAGUAACAUCAGGCCUGAGGACUUUGUUAAGUUCGCUUCCUUCCAACUCAAAGAUCAAGCUGCAGAAUGGUUCCAGCAGUACAAGGAUUCCAGAGGUGGACGUGUUAUCACUUGGGAUGAUUUCCGUCGAGAUUUCCGAGCUCAUCAUAUCCCUCAGAGCGUGGUUGAAAGCAAGCGUCAGGAAUUCCGCAACCUGAAGCAAGGCUCUUUGUCUGUCUAUGACUACAACAAGUUGUUCCAGAAGCUCGCCCGCUUUGCCAAGCAGGACGUACCUGAUGAGAAGAGCAUGAUAUACCAGUUCAGGGGUGGUCUCAGAGAAGAAAUUCAGCUAGCUCUUGUCCUCUUUGAUCCCUUGAGAUACGAUGAGUUCUACAACAUGGCACUGAAGCAAGAGGCUGCUUAG
This 609-nucleotide ribosomal RNA is filed under the name Triticum aestivum (bread wheat). Its description in RNAcentral is "partial small subunit ribosomal RNA". Lineage: Eukaryota; Viridiplantae; Streptophyta; Magnoliopsida; Poales; Poaceae. The record is from RNAcentral.